Molecule: ribosomal RNA, 1359 nt
Filed under: uncultured Clostridiaceae bacterium
Lineage: Bacteria; Bacillati; Bacillota; Clostridia; Eubacteriales; Clostridiaceae
Description: bacterial SSU rRNA
Rfam family: Bacterial small subunit ribosomal RNA
Source: RNAcentral
GACGAACGCUGGCGGCGUGCCUAACACAUGCAAGUCGAACGCGUCUCGCCAAAGCGGCGGUCUUCGGACCAAAGCGGCGGCAUUUAGACGAGUGGCGGACGGCUGAGUAACGCGUGAGAAAUCUGCCCUUAGGUGGGGAACAACUCUCCGAAAGGAGAGCUAAUACCGCAUAAUACAUUGAGGUGGCAUCACCCCAAUGUCAAAGAUUUAUCGCCUUUGGAUGAUCUCGCGUCUGAUUAGCUUGUUGGUGAGGUAAUGGCUCACCAAGGCGACGAUCAGUAGCCGAACUGAGAGGUUGAUCGGCCAGAUUGGGACUGAGACACGGCCCAGACUCCUACGGGAGGCAGCAGUGGGGGAUAUUGCGCAAUGGGGGAAACCCUGACGCAGCAACGCCGCGUGAAUGAUGACGGUCUUCGGAUUGUAAAGUUCUUUAAGUUGGGAAGAAAUCAAUGACGGUACCAACAGAAUAAGCACCGGCUAACUCUGUGCCAGCAGCCGCGGUAAUACAGAGGGUGCAAGCGUUGUCCGGAUUUACUGGGUGUAAAGGGUGUCUAGGCGGGAAGGCAGGUCUGAUGUGAAAUCUUGGGGCUCAACCCCAAAACUGCAUUGGAAACCUCCUUUCUUGAAUAAUGGAGAGGUAAGUGGAAUUCCUAGUGUAGCGGUGAAAUGCGUAGAUAUUAGGAGGAACACCAGUGGCGAAGGCGGCUUACUGGCCAUUUAUUGACGCUGAAGCACGAAAGCGUGGGUAGCAAACAGGAUUAGAUACCCUGGUAGUCCACGCCGUAAACGAUGAUUACUAGGUGUAGGAGGUAUCGACCCCUUCUGUGCCGCAGCUAACGCAUUAAGUAAUCCACCUGGGGAGUACGGCCGCAAGGUUGAAACUCAAAGGAAUUGACGGGGGCCCGCACAAGCAGUGGAGUAUGUGGUUUAAUUCGAAGCAACGCGAAGAACCUUACCAGGGCUUGACAUCCUCAGAACCUUUGCGAGAGCAGAGGGUGCCUUCGGGAACUGAGUGACAGGUGGUGCAUGGUUGUCGUCAGCUCGUGUCGUGAGAUGUUGGGUUAAGUCCCGCAACGAGCGCAACCCUUAUUACUAGUUGCUAACAUUUAGUUGAGCACUCUAGUGAGACUGCCGUUGACAAAACGGAGGAAGGUGGGGACGACGUCAAAUCAUCAUGCCCCUUAUGUCCUGGGCUACACACGUACUACAAUGGCCGUUAACAAUGGGAAGCGAAUGCGCGAGCUGGAGCAAAUCCCCAAAAACGGUCCCAGUUCGGAUUGCAGGCUGAAACUCGCCUGUAUGAAGUUGGAAUUGCUAGUAAUCGCGAAUCAGAAUGUCGCGGUGAAUACGUUCCCGGGC